Molecule: ribosomal RNA, 665 nt
Filed under: uncultured Micromonosporaceae bacterium
Lineage: Bacteria; Bacillati; Actinomycetota; Actinomycetes; Micromonosporales; Micromonosporaceae
Description: bacterial SSU rRNA
Rfam family: Bacterial small subunit ribosomal RNA
Source: RNAcentral
CUUUGGGAUAACCCUCGGAAACGGGGGCUAAUACCUGAUAUGACCUCCUGUCGCAUGGUGGGGGGUGGAAAGUUUUUCGGCCUGGGAUGGGCUCGCGGCCUAUCAGCUUGUUGGUGGGGUGAUGGCCUACCAAGGCGACGACGGGUAGCCGGCCUGAGAGGGCGACCGGCCACACUGGGACUGAGACACGGCCCAGACUCCUACGGGAGGCAGCAGUGGGGAAUAUUGCACAAUGGGCGGAAGCCUGAUGCAGCGACGCCGCGUGAGGGAUGACUGCCUUCGGGUUGUAAACCUCUUUCAGCAGGGACGAAGCGUAAGUGACGGUACCUGCAGAAGAAGCGCCGGCCAACUACGUGCCAGCAGCCGCGGUAAGACGUAGGGCGCGAGCGUUGUCCGGAUUUAUUGGGCGUAAAGAGCUCGUAGGCGGCUUGUCGCGUCGACUGUGAAAACCCGCAGCUCAACUGCGGGCCUGCAGUCGAUACGGGCAGGCUAGAGUUCGGUAGGGGAGACUGGAAUUCCUGGUGCAGCGGUGAAAUGCGCAGAUAUCAGGAGGAACACCGGUGGCGAAGGCGGGUCUCUGGGCCGAUACUGACGCUGAGGAGCGAAAGCGUGGGGAGCGAACAGGAUUAGAUACCCUGGUAGUCCACGCUGUAAACGUUGGGCGC